GUGACAGAAGAGAGUGAGCACACGGCCGGGCGUGACGGCACCGGCGCGGGUGUGCCGUCGCGGCCGCGUGCUCACUGCUCUUUCUGUCAU
This 90-nucleotide microRNA precursor is filed under the name Dichanthelium oligosanthes. RNAcentral's name for it is "mir-156 microRNA precursor family". It matches the Rfam family "mir-156 microRNA precursor family". From Rfam's summary of the family: This family represents the plant microRNA (miRNA) precursor mir-156. The record is from Rfam by way of RNAcentral. Lineage: Eukaryota; Viridiplantae; Streptophyta; Magnoliopsida; Poales; Poaceae.